UGAAAUAAAGAUAAUGAGGUUGAUUUGUCCUGUGCGCAGGAAGGAGAGACUGUCCCAUUGGAGGAACCUGAUUUGGUUUGGCUCUGUGCAGCAAAUUUCAUAUGGUACCUGUAGGAGUCAAAAUGAUGGUAUCGACUGGUGGCACAGCUUGCACGUAUCAGGAGCUCCCCAAAGAUGCCUGGUUUACAAAACCUCUGAAGAUAAAAUGGGAUGUGGGCAGCCAGGAACAUUGUGGUUUCUGAGGAUCAUCGCUUCACUAGCCAGCCUAGUCACAUCUCUUUGUGCUCUGAGUUGGAGGAGCUUCAUGUGCCUGCUUGGGAUUUGGAUAAGCAGCUCUGACAGUGGGUUCUGUGAGGGAUCUUCCUACUUCGGAUCUGUUUGAAUGCUGUCUUUUGCAAUGGAGUGACUAUGGAGGAAAUGUACACUUUGUACAAAAAAAUGCAAUGAGGAGUUAGUUCCAACAAAGUGUGGAUUAGCUCGGUUUUUUUCCCCCUUUGGUAUGAAUGUUUUUUGAGGAAUAAAAUAGCCUAAUUAGCUAAAAAAAAAAAAAAA
This 552-nucleotide long non-coding RNA is filed under the name Cyanistes caeruleus (blue tit). RNAcentral's name for it is "lncRNA (ENSCCEG00000012136.1)". The record is from RNAcentral. Lineage: Eukaryota; Metazoa; Chordata; Aves; Passeriformes; Paridae.